Molecule: ribosomal RNA, 320 nt
Filed under: uncultured eukaryote
Lineage: Eukaryota
Description: partial 18S ribosomal RNA
Rfam family: Eukaryotic small subunit ribosomal RNA
Source: RNAcentral
CCCUUAGAUGUUCUGGGCUGCACGCGCGCUACAAUGAUGCAUUCAACGAGCAUAGCUGCCUCGAAAGAAAGCGGCGAAUCUUUUGAAACUGCAUCGUGACGGGGAUAGAUGAUUGUAAUUAUUCACCUUCAACGAGGAAUUCCUAGUAAGUGCAAGUCAUCAACUUGCGCUGAUUACGUCCCUGCCCUUUGUACACACCGCCCGUCGCUCCUACCGAUUGAGUGAUCCGGUGAGCUAUUCGGACUGUAUGCUUGUCACUUUGGCUUGCGUAUGGGAAGUUUCGCGAACCUUAUCACUUAGAGGAAGGAGAAGUCGUAACA